GCGACCUACCCAUGAGCAGGAUGAAGCGAAAGUAAAAUUUCGUGGAGGUCCGAACCCACGAGCGUUGAAAAGCUCGGGGAUGACUUGUGGGUAGCGGUGAAAUUCCAAUCGAGCCCGGAGAUAGCUGGUUCUCCCCGAAAUAGCUUUAGGGCUAGCCUCAAGGUGAGAGAUACGGAGGUAGAGCACUGAAUGUCCUAGGGGGUAUUGCACCUACCGAAGACUAUCAAACUCCGAAUGCCGUCAUCUUAUACUUGGGAGUCAGACUGUGGGUGAUAAGAUUCAUAGUCGAAAGGGCAACAGCCCAGAUCGUCAGCUAAGGUCCCUAAAUGUAAGUUAAGUGGUAAAGGAUGUGGGAUUGCACAGACAACCAGGAUGUUGGCUUAGAAGCAGCCACUCAUUCAAAGAGUGCGUAAUAGCUCACUGGUCGAGUGAUCCUGCGCCGAAGAUUUCCGGGGCUAAAACUUACUACCGAAGCUACGGCAUCAGUAAUGAUGGGUAGGGGAGCUUCCCAUACGGGUUGAAGCAUGACCGUAAGGACAUGUGGACAGUAUGGGAGUGAGAAUGUUGGCAUGAGUAGCGAGAUGUGGGUGAGAAUCCCACAGGCCGUAAACCCAAGGUUUCCAGGGGAAGGUUCGUCCGCCCUGGGUUAGUCGGGACCUAAGCUGAGGCCGAAAGGCGUAGGUGAUGGACAACAGGUUGAU
RNAcentral lists this ribosomal RNA (701 nucleotides) under Clostridioides difficile. RNAcentral's name for it is "partial 23S ribosomal RNA". It matches the Rfam family "Bacterial large subunit ribosomal RNA", at positions 725 to 1434 of the family's 2925-position model. The record is from RNAcentral. Lineage: Bacteria; Bacillati; Bacillota; Clostridia; Peptostreptococcales; Peptostreptococcaceae.